AUUGAACGCUGGCGGCAUGCCUUACACAUGCAAGUCGAACGGCAGCACGGGAGCUUGCUCCUGGUGGCGAGUGGCGAACGGGUGAGUAAUGCAUCGGAACGUGCCCUGAAGUGGGGGAUAACGUAGCGAAAGUUACGCUAAUACCGCAUAUUCUGUGAGCAGGAAAGCAGGGGAUCUUCGGACCUUGCGCUUUUGGAGCGGCCGAUGUCGGAUUAGCUAGUUGGUGGGGUAAAGGCCCACCAAGGCGACGAUCCGUAGCGGGUCUGAGAGGAUGAUCCGCCACACUGGAACUGAGACACGGUCCAGACUCCUACGGGAGGCAGCAGUGGGGAAUUUUGGACAAUGGGCGCAAGCCUGAUCCAGCCAUGCCGCGUGAGUGAAGAA
Molecule: ribosomal RNA, 384 nt
Filed under: uncultured bacterium
Lineage: Bacteria
Description: bacterial SSU rRNA
Rfam family: Bacterial small subunit ribosomal RNA
Source: RNAcentral